GACGAACGCUGGCGGCGUGCUUAACACAUGCAAGUCGAGCGGAAAGGCCCUUCGGGGUACUCGAGCGGCGAACGGGUGAGUAACACGUGAGUAACCUGCCCCAGACUUUGGGAUAACCCUCGGAAACGGGGGCUAAUACCGGAUACGACACAGCUUCGCAUGGGGUCUGUGGGGAAAGUUUUUCGGUUUGGGAUGGGCUCGCGGCCUAUCAGCUUGUUGGUGGGGUGAUGGCCUACCAAGGCGACGACGGGUAGCCGGCCUGAGAGGGCGACCGGCCACACUGGGACUGAGACACGGCCCAGACUCCUACGGGAGGCAGCAGUGGGGAAUAUUGCACAAUGGGCGGAAGCCUGAUGCAGCGACGCCGCGUGAGGGAUGACGGCCUUCGGGUUGUAAACCUCUUUCAGCAGGGACGAAGCGUGAGUGACGGUACCUGCAGAAGAAGCGCCGGCCAACUACGUG
RNAcentral lists this ribosomal RNA (462 nucleotides) under uncultured bacterium. RNAcentral describes it as "partial 16S ribosomal RNA". It matches the Rfam family "Bacterial small subunit ribosomal RNA", at positions 28 to 507 of the family's 1533-position model. The record is from RNAcentral.